UACGUAGGGGGCGAGCGUUGUCCGGAUUUAUUGGGCGUAAAGAGCUCGUAGGCGGUUCGGUAAGUCGGAUGUGAAAUCUCCACGCUUAACGUGGAGGGGCCAUUCGAAACUGCUGUGACUCGAGUCCGGUAGGGGAGUGUGGAAUUCCCGGUGUAGCGGUGAAAUGCGCAGAUAUCGGGAGGAACACCAGUAGCGAAGGCGGCACUCUGGGCCGGUACUGACGCUGAGGAGCGAAAGCGUGGGGAGCGAACAGG
RNAcentral lists this ribosomal RNA (254 nucleotides) under uncultured bacterium. RNAcentral describes it as "partial 16S ribosomal RNA". It matches the Rfam family "Bacterial small subunit ribosomal RNA", at positions 524 to 776 of the family's 1533-position model. The record is from RNAcentral.